RNAcentral lists this transfer RNA (63 nucleotides) under Calanus sinicus. RNAcentral describes it as "tRNA-Thr". Lineage: Eukaryota; Metazoa; Arthropoda; Copepoda; Calanoida; Calanidae. The record is from RNAcentral.
UACUUUAUAAUUUAAAUAAAAUAUUAGUUUUGUAAACUAGUUAUGCCCUCCCGGCUAAAGUAU